RNAcentral lists this transfer RNA (72 nucleotides) under Ictidomys tridecemlineatus (thirteen-lined ground squirrel). RNAcentral describes it as "Spermophilus tridecemlineatus (thirteen-lined ground squirrel) tRNA". It matches the Rfam family "tRNA". Rfam says of the family: Transfer RNA (tRNA) molecules are approximately 80 nucleotides in length. Their secondary structure includes four short double-helical elements and three loops (D, anti-codon, and T loops). Further hydrogen bonds mediate the characteristic L-shaped molecular structure. tRNAs have two regions of fundamental functional importance: the anti-codon, which is responsible for specific mRNA codon recognition, and the 3' end, to which the tRNAs corresponding amino acid is attached (by aminoacyl-tRNA synthetases). tRNAs cope with the degeneracy of the genetic code in two manners: having more than one tRNA (with a specific anti-codon) for a particular amino acid; and 'wobble' base-pairing, i.e. permitting non-standard base-pairing at the 3rd anti-codon position. Lineage: Eukaryota; Metazoa; Chordata; Mammalia; Rodentia; Sciuridae. The record is from Rfam by way of RNAcentral. RNAcentral also lists the same sequence under 1 other name.
UGGGAUGUAACUCAGUGAGAAAGUGCUUGCCUAGCAUGCAUGAAGCCCUGGGUUCAAUCCCCAGUACUACAA